Triticum dicoccoides is the source of this 1051-nucleotide long non-coding RNA. RefSeq lists it as uncharacterized. Lineage: Eukaryota; Viridiplantae; Streptophyta; Magnoliopsida; Poales; Poaceae. The record is from RefSeq and is a predicted model, not a curated record. The transcript has 2 exons.
GCACUAUGUAGAAGUUGUUGUCUUGAUGGGCCCCAUUUUUUAAGUAUGCUCCGGGCCUCGAAAAAGUCAGGACAGGCCCUGUAUAUAUGCAGUGUUAUUUUCCUUUGUUGUUUGUACAUGUAAGUUACCAAAUAUAGGUUAAUAUCUAGCCUAUAGUAAAUGUGAAGUUAGAAAUGAUUUUUUCCUUAUGCAUUUUCUGGUUUGUAAAGCAGCUUUUGGUAACCUGGUUCGGUUAGUCUGUUGAUGUUCAACUUUUAUAUAUUAUCUUCCAUUGUAUCAAUUGAAUAGCAUGCCGCCUCUGUAAUAGUAUAAAUAAUAUUCCUAGCCUUACUUAUAGAACUUUCUGUAACUAUAGGUAUUUUCUGCUUUCCUCUAAAAUUGAUUUAUAUUUCAAGGAAGCAGAUGGAUAAGUAAAAUCAUAGUAUUACAGGCAGAACAAGUUCUUGCAAAACAUCAACAUGGAAGAGGUUUGCUCAUGGUUCUAGGACCGAUGCUCUUAGGGACCAUGAGUAUGUCCUAACCUAUGAAGACAAGGAUGCUGACUGGAUGCAUGUUGGCGAUCUUCCUUCGGAUUCAACAAGUUGUGUCUCAAGCUUGUAAGUUCUGUCACAAGGAUGAGAUUGCUAGAGUGCUACAAAACUUUUACGUGAUAGCAGUUGUACCAGUCAACUAGGAUGUCUACAUGAUGUUUCUUGUAUUCAUAGCAACAACACAAUCUUGUGGCGCGAGGUUGAGCUCUGAUCUUCAAAAGCAUUGCAAGCUUGGUGAUUCUUCUGCGGGAAACAUGCGGUCCUGUUUAAAUUAUGCAGUUUCACAUGAUGGUCAUGAGUUUGUUAUUCACAAGACAUCUAAUGAAGUCAUCCAACAAAAAGGUUCCGAACAAGCAAUUUGUCUUCCUGGACAUGGCUGUAGAUGUGUGUCAAGCUCAAACCAUUAGUUUAGCUUAGUUUGAACAAAAGAAAUCUUAUUUUCUUAUGUAAAUUCUAUUUAUUGAUGUAGUUGGAUGCUACUGAAUGCAUGUAUGAAUGUUGAAGUGCUGAAUUUUUAGUCA